Ceratotherium simum simum (southern white rhinoceros) is the source of this 1111-nucleotide non-coding RNA. The record is from RefSeq and is a predicted model, not a curated record. NCBI's taxonomy places the organism in Eukaryota, Metazoa, Chordata, Mammalia, Perissodactyla, Rhinocerotidae.
GGUUAAAAGUGUAAUUUUAUUUAGAUGUUACUUGUACAUAAUCUAUACUAAGAUAUACAAACAGAUAAAAAUUGCUUAACAGGAGUUUUUUUUUUUUUAAUACCACUUUAAAUUCAAUUUACAACAGCAUUGGUAAUACUCCAAGAUGACAGAUACUCUGAUUUAUAAAACAAAAAUUACUUGCUACUCUGGCUGAUACAUUCCCACUAGUCUUGAAUGGAUUAAAAUGUAUCAUGUAUCAUGUAUUUCAGUUGCAAAUUAUUACAAAAUGUUUACAACCUAGCCACUUGGUGCUCAGAAAAGAUAUUGAGAUUCUAAAAAUUUACUGAAAUGAAAGUGUUAACUCUCUAACAGUAUACUUACUAAACAGAAACAUAAGUGCACCAAAACUUAUGGUUUGGGGCUAACAACAGGAAAUCAUGUGCCUUUUGCUCAACCACAUCUCAUGUUGUGCAGCUAGUGUGUGGUGCUGAGCGAUCUUCUCACCCGCUCUGCCUACAUCUACAAUAUGAGAAAAAAGCUGAUAAGAAAUUAAACUCAAAUACACAGGGGGAAAACACUGGGGACAAUUUAAAAUAAGCUUACAAUAUAUAACUACUUUAAAAUGUAAAAUUCAUAGAUAUGAAAUACAUUUUAAAAGUUUUUCUCCAUUUGUUUUGGUAAAUACUUUUUGAAAAUGAAAACUGAAAAUUCAAAAUCUUCACUUUUUCCUUUUCACGUAAUACCAUAUUAGAAAAAGUUUGGAUUUAAAUUUUAGAAUAAACCAAACUUGCUGAGAAAAAUACUGCAAAAAUAAUCUAAACUGGAUUUUAGUCCUUUUCCAUUCUUUUAACGGCUAUAUAACAUAUCAGGGCAAAAGCUUUUUCACUAGUCAGAAAAUCAAGCUGAAAAUAACUUGUUGAUUAAGCUUUAGGAAGACAACUAAUAAUUAAUGGGCUUAUGAAUAUUUAUGAAUAAAGUGCCACUCAUUUUACUGUAAUAGAUAUACAUAGAAGAAAUUCGGACAUGGAUAGUAGCUUUAUGUGUUCUCUCCAUCCUGAGAAGAGACGGGACAUAAAAACAAAGAAGCAUUACCGAAAACAAGUUCUAGAAUUAUACAGGGAACUCCUAA